UGGGGAAUAUUGGACAAUGGGCGAAAGCCUGAUCCAGCCAUGCCGCGUGAGUGAUGAAGGCCCUAGGGUUGUAAAGCUCUUUCACCGGUGAAGAUAAUGACGGUAACCGGAGAAGAAGCCCCGGCUAACUUCGUGCCAGCAGCCGCGGUAAUACGAAGGGGGCUAGCGUUGUUCGGAAUUACUGGGCGUAAAGCGCACGUAGGCGGACUGUUAAGUCAGGGGUGAAAUCCUGGAGCUCAACUCCAGAACUGCCUUUGAUACUGAUGGUCUCGAGUCCGGAAGAGGUGAGUGGAAUUCCGAGUGUAGAGGUGAAAUUCGUAGAUAUUCGGAGGAACACCAGUGGCGAAGGCGGCUCACUGGUCCGGUACUGACGCUGAGGUGCGAAAGCGUGGGGAGCAAACAGG
This 404-nucleotide ribosomal RNA is filed under the name uncultured Mesorhizobium sp. Its description in RNAcentral is "bacterial SSU rRNA". It matches the Rfam family "Bacterial small subunit ribosomal RNA", at positions 355 to 776 of the family's 1533-position model. Lineage: Bacteria; Pseudomonadati; Pseudomonadota; Alphaproteobacteria; Hyphomicrobiales; Phyllobacteriaceae. The record is from RNAcentral.